GUUUCCGUAGGUGAACCUGCAGAUGGAUCAUCGCU
RNAcentral lists this ribosomal RNA (35 nucleotides) under Heterorhabditis zealandica. Its description in RNAcentral is "partial 18S ribosomal RNA". The record is from RNAcentral. Lineage: Eukaryota; Metazoa; Nematoda; Chromadorea; Rhabditida; Heterorhabditidae.